Molecule: long non-coding RNA, 216 nt
Filed under: Physcomitrium patens
Lineage: Eukaryota; Viridiplantae; Streptophyta; Bryopsida; Funariales; Funariaceae
Description: long non-coding RNA (PPAT_LNC002761)
Source: RNAcentral
CACAAACGUAACUCGAUUUCACGAAACAGUCAAGAGUAAUCACACCCACUUCAUUAAAAAUCCCGAUUCCAGUACAACACUUCGACUAUUCAGCAACGAUUGCCUCAGUCUUCCCAAAAUCCUAUGAAGUGAAAAAAAACCCCAAUCCUUUGUCUUUUUUUCCCUUCCCGAAGCAUGAAGCUACCUCUCCGAUCCCUCUCCAAAAUACUCAAUCUC